Long non-coding RNA from Osmerus eperlanus (European smelt), 1162 nucleotides. RefSeq lists it as uncharacterized. NCBI's taxonomy places the organism in Eukaryota, Metazoa, Chordata, Actinopteri, Osmeriformes, Osmeridae. The record is from RefSeq and is a predicted model, not a curated record. The transcript has 3 exons.
AACCCUGAAACAGAAUCGAACAAUCACUACGUUGUCGACGUCACGUCACGUGUACGUUCGGGGAACUGGCGCGGUCUGUCCUGCAUGUUGAAACUUCCAGAAAUAUUUUUCAAUGGAAGGCCACGUAAACAUUGACUUUUUCCAGACACAAUUGAAAUCUGUGCUGCACAUAUUGAUGGAUGUUGCAGUAACUGAAAUAACACAUAUUUUCCAAUGCACAGUGGGGUGCGAUAACGGUAGGCCUUCUAUUCGAAACAGUGAAUUGCUCGAAUGCAGGUUGAAGAGCGCGCUGGAAGGAAUGAGGAAUUCAGGAAUGAGCCCAAAUGACAAAACGACCAAUUACAAUAGAGCAUGGUAUCUCGGACCUUAACCAUGGGAGAAAUCAGAUUGCACUGCCUCAACGUCAAAGCGAACUAAUUCCAAUAUCCUUCUCAAAAACGAGAGAGAAGACGCACUCUGGGAAGGGAUAUGGAGCACUCAGGAUUGCAGUCUGCUGCGAGGAAACAUAGAACAGUUACAUCACUUCCCAGAAGGGGGGAUUUUACAAGUCCCCGUCUCAAGGAACGAAAAAGCACGUUUGACGCCCGUCAACCACACAACCUCUCCCCUGAACCAGUCCCAAGAGGACGAUCCCACCAUAACAUCACCUGCUGAACAAUCAAACAAACCAGAAGUGCCGUCACGCACCACAGUCGCCUCACACAAACAGGAGUCCUCGCCAGGACUCAGGAUUGUGUCCGUUUUCACCAGCCCACUGAUGCUGGAGGACCUGGAAGCGGAUAGGAUCGCUGCCAGCACGCCACGGACACGUUCCUCACACCGCGCGCCCUCUGAGCGCCAGGAAACCCGCACCCCUCCUCUCAUACCUCCACUGAGAAAAACCCUCACCCGCUCCCGAGCAGCCAGGCGCCCCGCUUUCGAUCGUGUUUUGGAAGCGAAGGUGUCCGAGCCCUCGGAUGUGAAGGAAAGGCUCGACACUGGGCCUGUCCGGCUGCCAGAGUCCAGUAGAAGAGGUGAAGACACGAUGGAAGAUUUCGUCCUUACUCUGAACAGCUCCUCCUCCAGCUCCACCGCCUCCUCUCCCACCCUCCCCUCUCCCACCUUCACCUUCCCCUCUCCCUCCACCACCUCCCCCCCUCCUCCUCCGCCGGCCAGCUCCUCC